UGAAGAGGAAUGGGAAGCCGA
Molecule: non-coding RNA, 21 nt
Filed under: Arabidopsis thaliana (thale cress)
Lineage: Eukaryota; Viridiplantae; Streptophyta; Magnoliopsida; Brassicales; Brassicaceae
Source: RNAcentral